GACGAACGCUGGCGGCGUGCUUAACACAUGCAAGUCGAACGGAAAGGCCCUGCUUUUGUGUGUUUCUCUAGUGGCGAACGGGUGAGUAACACGUGAGUAACCUGCCCUUGACUUUGGGAUAACUUCAGGAAACUGGGGCUAAUACCGGAUAGUAGCUCCUGCUGCAUGGUGGGGGUUGGAAAGUUUCGGCGGUUGGGGAUGUGCGCGCGGCUUAUCAGCUUGUUGGUGGGGUAGUGGCUUACCAAGGCUUUGACGGGUCGGCGGCAUGUGAGGGUGAACGGGGACAUUGGGACUGAGAUACGGCCCAGACGCGUACGGGAGACAGCAGUGGGGAAUAUUGCACAACGGGCGGAAGCCUAAGGCAGAAACGCCGCGGGUGGGAAGACGGCCCUCGGGUUGUAAACCGCUUACGCCUGUGACGAAGCGUGAGUGACGGUAAUGGGUAAAGAAGCACCGGCUAACUACGUG
This 468-nucleotide ribosomal RNA is filed under the name uncultured bacterium. RNAcentral's name for it is "partial 16S ribosomal RNA". It matches the Rfam family "Bacterial small subunit ribosomal RNA", at positions 28 to 507 of the family's 1533-position model. The record is from RNAcentral.